This 975-nucleotide long non-coding RNA is filed under the name Homo sapiens (human). Its description in RNAcentral is "PYDC2 antisense RNA 1". The record is from RNAcentral. Lineage: Eukaryota; Metazoa; Chordata; Mammalia; Primates; Hominidae.
CUUCUCGUCUGUCGCCAUGUGAGAUGUACCUUUCACUUUCCUCCAUGAUUGUGAGGCCUCCUUAGCCACAUGGAACUUAUUUAAGUCAACAGAUGGAAGAGUGUCAUGGAAGCGUGCCUGUGAGGAAGAAACUGGAGCAAAAAAGAUGGAAACCCCAGCAAGGACGAUGAGCCCUGGCAAUCACUAUUCCAGUCUCUGCUUCUAUGAGUUUGACUAUUUCAGAUUCCACAUGUAGGAAAUGCUGGAGUCCUUCAUCCGAAUGGUAAAUGGCACUUGUGACAAAAAUCAAAGUAACUAAAAAAGAAUCUGGUUGAAACCUCAGUAACAGUUGGCCUGUCUACUGCCUCACACUAACAAGGGGGAGCUAAUAAAACCGAGGUUAGAACACACAAUGUGGAAAUGAAAACCUUAUUCUUGUCAAUGGAUGGAGGGUGGUGACCCCCACCUUUACAAGUGUCUGUAAUUCUCACUAGCAGUAUAUUAGAGGGCAAAAGAUUUGAACAGACACAUCAGAAAAGAAGACAUACAAAUGGCCGCUAAGCACUUGAAAGGAUUCUGAACACCAUUAGUCAUCAGUGAAAUGCAAAUUAAAGCCAUAAUGAAUGGCGCUAUACAUUUUCAGAAUGGCAAGGAUUGAAGACCGAAAAAAAUCAAGCGUUGAGGAGAGUGACAAAUGGGGAGACAGCCGUGGUGCAUGAUCGCCGAAUAAAUACCAUGUGAGGAUACAGCAAGAAGGUGGCCAUCUACAAGCCAAGGAGACAGGCCUCAGAAGAAACCAACCCUUCUUACACCCUGGACUCAGACUUCUAAUCUCCAGAACUUGUUAAUGCACAAGGUCUUGUGUUGAAAAUGUAGAGCCACGAGAUAAAAGCAGCUUGGAUGGCUGACUCAUAUACAAGGACAACUGCCUGAGAGUCACCAGGGCUAUCAAGAAGUUUGCAGAAACAAGAAAUAAACUUUUACUGUUUUAAACUU